UCCCUCGUAGCUCAGUUGGUAAAGAAUCUGCCUGCAACGCAGGAGACCUGGGUUCGAUCCCUGGAAUGGAA
RNAcentral lists this transfer RNA (71 nucleotides) under Bos taurus (domestic cattle). It matches the Rfam family "tRNA". Rfam says of the family: Transfer RNA (tRNA) molecules are approximately 80 nucleotides in length. Their secondary structure includes four short double-helical elements and three loops (D, anti-codon, and T loops). Lineage: Eukaryota; Metazoa; Chordata; Mammalia; Artiodactyla; Bovidae. The record is from Rfam by way of RNAcentral. RNAcentral also lists the same sequence under 6 other names.